UACGUAGGGGGCAAGCGUUGCCCGGAUUUAUUGGGCGUAAAGCGCGUGUAGGCGGCCAGGUAGGUCCGCUGUGAAAACCCGAGGCUCAACCUCGGGACGUCGGCGGAAACCAUCUGGCUAGAGUCCGGAAGAGGAGAGUGGAAUUCCCGGUGUAGCGGUGAAAUGCGCAGAUAUCGGGAAGAACACCCGUGGCGAAGGCGGCUCUCUGGGACGGUACUGACGCUGAGACGCGAAAGCGUGGGGAGCGAACAGG
RNAcentral lists this ribosomal RNA (253 nucleotides) under uncultured bacterium. RNAcentral describes it as "partial 16S ribosomal RNA". It matches the Rfam family "Bacterial small subunit ribosomal RNA", at positions 524 to 776 of the family's 1533-position model. The record is from RNAcentral.